AGAGUUUGAUCCUGGCUCAGGACGAACGCUGGCGGCGUGCUUAACACAUGCAAGUCGAACGAGACGAUUGAAAGCUUGCUUUUGAGAGUCGAGUGGCAAACGGGUGAGUAACGCGUAGACAACCUGCCGUAAAGAUGGGGACAACAGUUCGAAAGGACUGCUAAUACCGAAUGUUGUAGAGUUUCCGCAUGGGAAUCCUACUAAAGGUGGCCUCUACUUGUAAGCUAUCGCUUUACGAUGGGUCUGCGUCUGAUUAGCUAGUUGGUGGGGUAACGGCUUACCAAGGCGACGAUCAGUAGCCGGUCUGAGAGGAUGAACGGCCACAUUGGAACUGAGACACGGUCCAGACUCCUACGGGAGGCAGCAGUGGGGAAUCUUCCGCAAUGGGCGCAAGCCUGACGGAGCAACGCCGCGUGAGUGAAGAAGGGUUUCGACUCGUAAAGCUCUGUUGUCGGGGACGAAUGUCAGGACUCAGAAUAUGGGUUCUGAAUGACGGUACCUGACGAGGAAGCCACGGCUAACUACGUGCCAGCAGCCGCGGUAAUACGUAGGGAGCGAGCGUUGUCCGGAAUUACUGGGUGUAAAGGGAGCGUAGGCGGGAUUGCAAGUCAGAUGUGAAAACUAUGGGCUUAACCCAUAGACUGCAUUUGAAACUGUAGUUCUUGAGUGAAGUAGAGGUAAGCGGAAUUCCUAGUGUAGCGGUGAAAUGCGUAGAUAUUAGGAGGAACAUCGGUGGCGAAGGCGGCUUACUGGGCUUUUACUGACGCUGAGGCUCUAAAGCGUGGGGAGCAAACAGGAUUAGAUACCCUGGUAGUCCACGCUGUAAACGAUGAUUACUAGGUGUGGGGGGACUGACCCCUUCCGUGCCGCAGUUAACACAAUAAGUAAUCCACCUGGGGAGUACGACCGCAAGGUUGAAACUCAAAGGAAUUGACGGGGGCCCGCACAAGCAGUGGAGUAUGUGGUUUAAUUCGAAGCAACGCGAAGAACCUUACCAGGUCUUGACAUCGAGUGACGAGCUAAGAGAUUAGCUUUCCUUUCGAGGCACGAAGACAGGUGGUGCAUGGUUGUCGUCAGCUCGUGUCGUGAGAUGUUGGGUUAAGUCCCGCAACGAGCGCAACCCUUACCAUUAGUUGCUACGCAAGAGCACUCUAAUGGGACUGCCGUUGACAAAACGGAGGAAGGUGGGGAUGACGUCAAAUCAUCAUGCCCCUUAUGACCUGGGCUACACACGUACUACAAUGGCAAUUAACAAAGAGCAGCAAAGCCGCGAGGUGGAGCGAAUCUCCAAAAAUUGUCCCAGUUCAGAUUGCAGGCUGCAACUCGCCUGCAUGAAGUCGGAAUUGCUAGUAAUCGUAGAUCAGCAUGCUACGGUGAAUACGUUCCCGGGCCUUGCACUCACCGCCCGUCA
RNAcentral lists this ribosomal RNA (1411 nucleotides) under uncultured bacterium. Its description in RNAcentral is "bacterial SSU rRNA". It matches the Rfam family "Bacterial small subunit ribosomal RNA". The record is from RNAcentral.